AAAAUCCGUCGACUUUAUAAAUC
RNAcentral lists this transfer RNA (23 nucleotides) under Rafnia ovata. RNAcentral describes it as "partial transfer RNA-Leu (UAA)". Lineage: Eukaryota; Viridiplantae; Streptophyta; Magnoliopsida; Fabales; Fabaceae. The record is from RNAcentral.